UACGGGGGAUGCAAGCGUUAUCCGGAUUUAUUGGGUUUAAAGGGUGCGUAGGCUGUGAGGUAAGUCAGCGGUGAAAUGCCCCCGCUCAACGGGGUAAAGUGCCAUUGAUACUGCCUUGCUGGAAUGCGGAUGCCGUGGGAGGAAUGUGUGGUGUAGCGGUGAAAUGCAUAGAUAUCACACAGAACACCGAUUGCGAAGGCAUCUCACGAAUCCGCUAUUGACGCUGAUGCACGAAAGCGUGGGUAUCAAACAGG
RNAcentral lists this ribosomal RNA (254 nucleotides) under uncultured bacterium. Its description in RNAcentral is "partial 16S ribosomal RNA". It matches the Rfam family "Bacterial small subunit ribosomal RNA", at positions 524 to 776 of the family's 1533-position model. The record is from RNAcentral.